Molecule: ribosomal RNA, 499 nt
Filed under: uncultured bacterium
Lineage: Bacteria
Description: partial 16S ribosomal RNA
Rfam family: Bacterial small subunit ribosomal RNA
Source: RNAcentral
GAUGAACGCUGGCGGCGUGCCUAACACAUGCAAGUCGAGCGAGAUAAAUGUGAGUGGAGACUUCGGUCAAAGCAAUCAUUUUGAAAGCAGCGGACGGGUGAGUAACGCGUGAGCAAUCUGCCCCAUACAAAGGGAUACCCACUGGAAACGGUGAUUAAUACCUUAUAAGACCACGAAGUCGCCUGGCUUAGUGGCCAAAGAUUUAUCGGUAUGGGACGAGCUCGCGUCUGAUUAGCUAGUUGGUGAGGUAAUGGCUCACCAAGGCGACGAUCAGUAGCCGACCUGAGAGGGUGAACGGCCACACUGGAACUGAGACACGGUCCAGACUCCUACGGGAGGCAGCAGUGGGGAAUAUUGCACAAUGGGCGCAAGCCUGAUGCAGCAACGCCGCGUGAAUGAUGAAGGCCUUCGGGUCGUAAAGUUCUGUCCUAAGGGAAGAAUACAGUGACGGUACCUUAGGAGGAAGCCCCGGUUAACUACGUGCCAGCCGCCGCCGUAA